Molecule: ribosomal RNA, 138 nt
Filed under: uncultured bacterium
Lineage: Bacteria
Description: partial 16S ribosomal RNA
Rfam family: Bacterial small subunit ribosomal RNA
Source: RNAcentral
CGGGAGCCAUCAGUGGGGAAUAUUGCACAAUGGGCGAAAGCCUGAUCCAGCAAUGCCGCGUGAGUGAUGAAGGCCUUAGGGUUGUAAAGCUCUUUUACUGGGGAUGAUAAUGACAGUACCCAGAGAAUAAGCUCCGGC